This 264-nucleotide ribosomal RNA is filed under the name uncultured bacterium. RNAcentral's name for it is "partial 16S ribosomal RNA". It matches the Rfam family "Bacterial small subunit ribosomal RNA", at positions 793 to 1055 of the family's 1533-position model. The record is from RNAcentral.
GUCCUAGCCGUAAACGAUGGGCACUUGGUGUUGGGGUAUUGAGUCCCCCGGUGCCGGAGUUAACACGUUAAGUGCCCCGCCUGGGGAGUACGGUCGCAAGACUGAAACUCAAAGGAAUUGACGGGGCCCGCACAAGCGGUGGAGCAUGUGGUUCAAUUCGACGCAACGCGAAGAACCUUACCGGGGCUCGAACGGUAACUGCAAUUCCUGGAAAACAGGAAGUUCUCUUCGGAGACGGUUAUCGAGGUGCUGCAUGGCUGUCGU